This 138-nucleotide small nucleolar RNA is filed under the name Brassica napus (rape). Its description in RNAcentral is "snoRNA snoU19". It matches the Rfam family "Small nucleolar RNA U19". The record is from Rfam by way of RNAcentral. Lineage: Eukaryota; Viridiplantae; Streptophyta; Magnoliopsida; Brassicales; Brassicaceae.
AUUGGGCUUAGUUAGGAGGCAUUAAAUAAUCUGAUCUUUUCAAUACUUUUCUGUAUUGGUUUGAUCUUAAUUGACUUGAGGUCUUUUGAGGAGGAGCUCUGCUUUCUUGCUGCUUCUCCCAAGCAGCCUCAGACAUUA